Molecule: ribosomal RNA, 394 nt
Filed under: uncultured bacterium
Lineage: Bacteria
Description: bacterial SSU rRNA
Rfam family: Bacterial small subunit ribosomal RNA
Source: RNAcentral
AUUGAACGCUGGCGGCAUGCUUUACACAUGCAAGUCGAACGGUAACAGGCCUUCGGGUGCUGACGAGUGGCGAACGGGUGAGUAAUGCAUCGGAACGUGCCCAAUCGUGGGGGAUAACGUAGCGAAAGUUACGCUAAUACCGCAUAAGCCCUGAGGGGGAAAGCAGGGGAUCGCAAGACCUUGCGCGAAUGGAGUGGCCGAUGUCAGAUUAGCUAGUUGGUGGGGUAAAGGCCUACCAAGGCGACGAUCUGUAGCGGGUCUGAGAGGAUGAUCCGCCACACUGGGACUGAGACACGGCCCAGACUCCUACGGGAGGCAGCAGUGGGGAAUUUUGGACAAUGGGCGCAAGCCUGAUCCAGCCAUGCCGCGUGCGGGACGAAGGCCUCGGUUGUAA